GACGAACGCUGGCGGCGUGCCUAAUACAUGCAAGUUGAACGCUAAAGCUUUAACUGGUGCUUGCACCGACCUAAGUUUUUAGAGUAGCGGACGGGUGAGUAACACGUGGGUAACCUGCCCAUCAGAGGGGGAUAACACUUGGAAACAGGUGCUAAUACCGCAUAAUUCCUUUUACCGCAUGGUAAAAGGCUGAAAGGCGCUUCUGGUGUCACUGAUGGAUGGACCCGCGGCGCAUUAGCUAGUUGGUGUGGUAAAGGCUCACCAAGGCGAUGAUGCGUAGCCGACCUGAGAGGGUGAACGGCCACACUGGGACUGAGACACGGCCCAGACUCCUACGGGAGGCAGCAGUAGGGAAUCUUCCGCAAUGGACGAAAGUCUGACGGAGCAACGCCGCGUGAGUGAAGAAGGUUUUCGGAUCGUAAAACUCUGUUGUCAGAGAAGAACGAAUGUGAGAGUAACUGCUCAUGUUGUGACGGUAACUGACGAGAAAGCCACGGCUAACUACGUGCCAGCAGCCGCCGUAACAC
This 527-nucleotide ribosomal RNA is filed under the name uncultured bacterium. Its description in RNAcentral is "bacterial SSU rRNA". It matches the Rfam family "Bacterial small subunit ribosomal RNA", at positions 28 to 526 of the family's 1533-position model. The record is from RNAcentral.